Molecule: small nuclear RNA, 107 nt
Organism: Physeter macrocephalus (sperm whale)
Lineage: Eukaryota; Metazoa; Chordata; Mammalia; Artiodactyla; Physeteridae
Source: Ensembl
GUGUUUACUUCAACAGCACAUAUACUAAAAUUAGAGCCACACAGAGAAGAUUAGCAAAGCCCCUAUAUAAGGAGAACACACAAAUUCAUGAAACAUUUCUUUUUUUU